This 269-nucleotide ribosomal RNA is filed under the name uncultured Actinomycetales bacterium. RNAcentral's name for it is "partial 16S ribosomal RNA". It matches the Rfam family "Bacterial small subunit ribosomal RNA", at positions 61 to 334 of the family's 1533-position model. Lineage: Bacteria; Bacillati; Actinomycetota; Actinomycetes; Actinomycetales. The record is from RNAcentral.
GUCGAACGAUGACGCCCUUCGGGGUGGAUUAGUGGCGAACGGGUGAGUAACACGUGGGCAAUCUGCCCUGCACUCUGGGACAAGCCCUGGAAACGGGGUCUAAUACCGGAUGACACUUUCUUUCGCAUGGGAGAAGGUUGAAAGCUCCGGCGGUGCAGGAUGAGCCCGCGGCCUAUCAGCUAGUUGGUGAGGUAGAAGCUCACCAAGGCGACGACGGGUAGCCGGCCUGAGAGGGCGACCGGCCACACUGGGACUGAGACACGGCCCAG